This 549-nucleotide small RNA is filed under the name Pan troglodytes (chimpanzee). Its description in RNAcentral is "retained intron". Lineage: Eukaryota; Metazoa; Chordata; Mammalia; Primates; Hominidae. The record is from RNAcentral.
GUUAAGCUGAGGUCGUCUGAGCCCUGCGACAGCCUGGACAGCAACUCAGGAUGGCAUCAGGCAGGGCACGCUGCACCCGAAAACUCCGGAACUGGGUGGUGGAGCAAGUGGAGAGUGGGCAGUUUCCCGGAGUGUGCUGGGAUGAUACAGCUAAGACCAUGUUCCGGAUUCCCUGGAAACAUGCAGGCAAGCAGGACUUCCGGGAGGACCAGGAUGCUGCCUUCUUCAAGGCCUGGGCAAUAUUUAAGGGAAAGUAUAAGGAGGGGGACACAGGAGGUCCGGCUGUCUGGAAGACUCGCCUGCGCUGUGCACUCAACAAGAGUUCUGAAUUUAAGGAGGUUCCUGAGAGGGGCCGCAUGGAUGUUGCUGAGCCCUACAAGGUGUAUCAGUUGCUGCCACCAGGAACUGUCUCUGGUGAGUUUCCCCUUGUCCAACCACUGCUAGACUCAGCAGACUGGGGAGGAAGGAUAGAUGUGCAGGCUUCCCCCAGGCUUCUCAUAGCUCUGCCCUGUCCGUGCCCUUGGGGGGCUGCAACCCAGGUUUCCCUUC